AUUGAACGCUGGCGGCAGGCCUAACACAUGCAAGUCGAGCGGUAGAGAGGUGCUUGCAUCUCUUGAGAGCGGCGGACGGGUGAGUAAUGCCUAGGAAUCUGCCUAGUGGUGGGGGAUAACGUUCGGAAACGGACGCUAAUACCGCAUACGUCCUACGGGAGAAAGCGGGGGGAUCUUCGGACCUCGCGCCAUUAGAUGAGCCUAGGUCGGAUUAGCUAGUUGGUGAGGUAAUGGCUCACCAAGGCGACGAUCCGUAACUGGUCUGAGAGGAUGAUCAGUCACACUGGAACUGAGACACGGUCCAGACUCCUACGGGAGGCAGCAGUGGGGAAUAUUGGACAAUGGGCGAAGACCUGAUCCAGCCAUGCCGCGUGUGUGAAGAAGGUCUUCGGAUUGUAAGACACUUUAAGUUGGGUAGGAAGGGUAGGUAACC
This 433-nucleotide ribosomal RNA is filed under the name uncultured bacterium. RNAcentral describes it as "bacterial SSU rRNA". It matches the Rfam family "Bacterial small subunit ribosomal RNA", at positions 30 to 462 of the family's 1533-position model. The record is from RNAcentral.